RNAcentral lists this ribosomal RNA (796 nucleotides) under uncultured Planctomycetota bacterium. RNAcentral's name for it is "bacterial SSU rRNA". It matches the Rfam family "Bacterial small subunit ribosomal RNA", at positions 75 to 888 of the family's 1533-position model. The record is from RNAcentral. Lineage: Bacteria; Pseudomonadati; Planctomycetota.
UAUAGCAAUAUAUCAGCGGCGAAAGGGAGAGUAACGCGUAGCUACGUACCCCGGAGUCCAGAAUAGCCAGCCGAAAGGCUGGGUAAUGCUGGAUGAUGUCUCCGGACUAAAGGUGUGAUUCCGCUUUGGGAGCGGGCUGCGUUGUACUAGCUUGUUGGUAGGGUAACGGCCUACCAAGGCGAUGAUGCAUACCGGGCGUGAGAGCGUGGCCCGGCUCACUGGGACUGAGACACUGCCCAGACACCUACGGGUGGCUGCAGUCGAGAAUCUUUGGCAAUGAGCGCAAGCUUGACCGAGCGACGCCGCGUGCGGGAUGAAGGCCUUCGGGUUGUAAACCGCGAAAGUAGGGAGGAAAUCGCUAGGGGUUCUCCCCUAGUGUUGACCUAUCUUCAGUAAGGACGGGCUAAGUUCGUGCCAGCAGCCGCGGUAAUACGAACCGUCCAAACGUUAUUCGGAUUUAUUGGGCUUAAAGGGUAUGUAGGCGGCCCUUCAAGUCGGGUGUGAAAGCCCUCGGCUCAACCGAGGAACUGCGCCCGAUACUGUGGGGCUCGAGGGAGACAGAGGUAAGCGGAACUGAUGGUGGAGCGGUGAAAUGCGUUGAUAUCAUCAGGAACACCAGUGGCGAAAGCGGCUUACUGGGUCUCUUCUGACGCUGAGAUACGAAAGCUAGGGGAGCGAACGGGAUUAGAUACCCCGGUAGUCCUAGCUGUAAACGAUGAGCACUUGAUCGAGGGGCCCCCCAUAGCCUCUCGGUCGUAGCGAAAGUGAUAAGUGCUCCGCCUGGGGAGUAUGGUCG